AUUGAACGCUGGCGGAAUGCUUUACACAUGCAAGUCGAACGGUAGAGGGGGCAACCCCUCGAGAGUGGCGAACGGGUGAGUAAUAUAUCGGAACGUGCCCAGUCGUGGGGGAUAACGUAGCGAAAGUUACGCUAAUACCGCAUACGAUCUAAGGAUGAAAGCGGGGGAUCGCAAGACCUCGUGCGAUUGGAGCGGCCGAUAUCAGAUUAGGUAGUUGGUGGGGUAAAGGCUCACCAAGCCAACGAUCUGUAGCUGGUCUGAGAGGACGACCAGCCACACUGGAACUGAGACACGGUCCAGACUCCUACGGGAGUCAGCAGUGGGGAAUUUUGGACAAUGGACGCAAGUCUGAUCCAGCCAUUCCGCGUGCAGGAUGAAGGCCCUCGGGUUGUAAACUGCUUUUGUACGGAACGAAAAGGUCUCUCUUAAUACGGGGGACUCAUGACGGUACCGUAAGAAUAAGCACCGGCUAACUACGUGCCAGCCGCCGCCGUAA
Molecule: ribosomal RNA, 496 nt
Filed under: uncultured bacterium
Lineage: Bacteria
Description: partial 16S ribosomal RNA
Rfam family: Bacterial small subunit ribosomal RNA
Source: RNAcentral